GACGAACGCUGGCGGCGCGCCUAACACAUGCAAGUCGAGCGGAGCUGAGAGAAGCUUGCUUUUCUUAGCUUAGUGGCGAACGGGUGAGUAACGCGUGAGUAACCUGCCCUGGAGUGGGGGACAACAGUUGGAAACGACUGCUAAUACCGCAUAAGCCCACGAUCCGGCAUCGGAUUGAGGGAAAAGGAUUUAUUCGCUUCAGGAUGGACUCGCGUCCAAUUAGCUAGUUGGUGAGGUAACGGCCCACCAAGGCGACGAUUGGUAGCCGGACUGAGAGGUUGAACGGCCACAGUGGGACUGAGACACGGCCCAGACUCCUACGGGAGGCAGCAGUGGGGGAUAUUGCACAAUGGGGGAAACCCUGAUGCAGCGACGCCGCGUGGAGGAAGAAGGUUUUCGGAUUGUAAACUCCUGUCGUUAGGGACGAUAAUGACGGUACCUAACAAGAAAGCACCGGCUAACUACGUG
This 468-nucleotide ribosomal RNA is filed under the name uncultured bacterium. Its description in RNAcentral is "partial 16S ribosomal RNA". It matches the Rfam family "Bacterial small subunit ribosomal RNA", at positions 28 to 507 of the family's 1533-position model. The record is from RNAcentral.